UCCCUCCUGACCGCUCUCUAACAGGAGCUUCCCUUCGGGGCGAGAGGUGACAGGUGGUGCAUGGUUGUCGUCAGCUCGUGUCGUGAGAUGUGGGUUAAGUCCCGCAACGAGCGCAACCCUUGUCAUUAGUUGCCAGCAGUUCGGCUGGGCACUCUAGUGAGACUGCCGGGGAUAACUCGGAGGAAGGUGGGGAUGACGUCAAAUCAUCAUGCCCCUUAUGUUCUGGGCUACACACGUGCUACAAUGGCUGGUACAAAGAGACGCAAGACGGUGACGUGGAGCAAAUCUCAAAAACCAGUCCCAGUUCGGAUUGUAGGCUGCAACUCGCCUACAUGAAGUUGGAGUUGCUAGUAAUCGCGAAUCAGAAUGUCGCGGUGAAUGCGUUCCCGGGUCUU
RNAcentral lists this ribosomal RNA (395 nucleotides) under uncultured Eubacteriales bacterium. Its description in RNAcentral is "bacterial SSU rRNA". It matches the Rfam family "Bacterial small subunit ribosomal RNA", at positions 987 to 1382 of the family's 1533-position model. The record is from RNAcentral. Lineage: Bacteria; Bacillati; Bacillota; Clostridia; Eubacteriales.